AACGAACGCUGGCGGCAGGCUUAACACAUGCAAGUCGAACGGGCGCGAGCAAUCGCGUCAGUGGCAGACGGGUGAGUAACACGUGGGAACCUUCCUAGGGGUACGGAACAACUCAGGGAAACUUGAGCUAAUACCGUAUACGUCCGUAAGGAGAAAGAUUCAUCGCCCCUAGACGGGCCCGCGUCGGAUUAGCUAGUUGGUGGGGUAACGGCCUACCAAGGCGACGAUCCGUAGCUGAUCUGAGAGGAUGAUCAGCCACACUGGGACUGAGACACGGCCCAGACUCCUACGGGAGGCAGCAGUGGGGAAUUUUGGACAAUGGGGGCAACCCUGAUCCAGCCAUGCCGCGUGAGUGAAGAAGGCC
This 364-nucleotide ribosomal RNA is filed under the name uncultured bacterium. Its description in RNAcentral is "bacterial SSU rRNA". It matches the Rfam family "Bacterial small subunit ribosomal RNA", at positions 29 to 416 of the family's 1533-position model. The record is from RNAcentral.